CGCAUCUGUGCAUGCAGCAUAUCAAUAAGCGGAGGAAAAGAAACUAACAAGGAUUCCCCUAGUAACGGCGAGUGAAGCGGGAAGAGCUCAAAUUUGAAAUCUUAAAGGGUUUCCCUUUACGAAUUGUAGUUUAAAGAAGUGUUUUCUGUUGAGGUUUUGGUAAUAGUUCUUUGGAAUAGGACAUCAUAGAGGGUGAGAAUCCCGUAUUUGACCUUUACUUUCAACUUUGUGAUACACUUUCAAAGAGUCGGAUUGUUUGGGAAUGCAGUCCAAAAUGGGUGGUAAAUUUCAUCUAAAGCUAAAUAUUGGCGAGAGACCGAUAGCGAACAAGUACCGUGAGGGAAAGAUGAAAAGAACUUUGAAAAGAGAGUUAAACAGUACGUGAAAUUGUCAAAAGGGAAGCGUUUGACACCAGUGUUGUUUUUCUGAAAAUCAAUUAAAGAACUGUUUAUGCUAAGCUGUUUAGACUUUAUCAGCUAAUCUGUUUAGUUUUGAGCUUUUCUUUAAUGCACUUUUCAGUUAACAAGUCAACAUCAAUUUCUUUUGCUGUAAAAAAGCUUGAGGAAGGUGGCUUGAGAUUCGUCUUAAGUGUUUAUAGCCUCUUGCCUAUGCAGUCGGAGAGAUUGAGGUCUGCAGCGUAGAUCCUUCGGGGCUAAAUGCAUUUGUGCUAAGUUAUAGCAUUUUAUAGACAACUUGUUGACUAUGAUUUGUCUUGUAGCUUACUCGCUUAUGUUAUUUUACCUACGCUUAGGAUGUUGAACGCGCACAGAGUCUC
This 775-nucleotide ribosomal RNA is filed under the name uncultured Neocallimastigales. RNAcentral describes it as "partial large subunit ribosomal RNA". It matches the Rfam family "Eukaryotic large subunit ribosomal RNA", at positions 26 to 635 of the family's 3401-position model. Lineage: Eukaryota; Fungi; Neocallimastigomycota; Neocallimastigomycetes; Neocallimastigales. The record is from RNAcentral.